RNAcentral lists this ribosomal RNA (119 nucleotides) under Scophthalmus maximus (turbot). The record is from RNAcentral. Lineage: Eukaryota; Metazoa; Chordata; Actinopteri; Pleuronectiformes; Scophthalmidae.
GCUUACGGCCACACCGCCUGGUUCACGCCCGAUCUCGUUUGAUCUCGGAAGCUAAGAUAGGGUGGGCCUGGUUAGUACUUGGAUGGGAGACCGCCUGGGAAUACCAGGUGCUGUAAAGC